GGUGAAGCCGAGUUUUGUCAAUCCCAUAAAUCUGGUUCAGUUCGGAUCGCAGUCUGCAACUCGACUGCGUGAAGCUGGAAUCGCUAGUAAUCGCGGAUCAGCAUGCCGCGGUGAAUACGUUCCCGGGCCUUGUACACACCGCCCGUCACACCACGAGAGUUUGCAACACCCGAAGUCGGUGAGGUAACCUUUAUGGAGCCAGCCGCCGAAGGUGGGGCAGAUGAUUGGGGGGG
Molecule: ribosomal RNA, 233 nt
Filed under: Bacillus pumilus
Lineage: Bacteria; Bacillati; Bacillota; Bacilli; Caryophanales; Bacillaceae
Description: partial 16S ribosomal RNA
Rfam family: Bacterial small subunit ribosomal RNA
Source: RNAcentral